AUAACAUCAAUUUACUUAUGUAUCCACAAGAUUCCUUAAUUACUUGGCACAAUAAAAAAUGCUACUCCGUCCGUUCGCUUUUACUUGUCACUAUUUUCCUAAUUUGAUUUCUAUUUUUACUUGUCAUUUUUGACAAAUCAAGUAAAGCCGAAAUUUUGUUUCCAUGUUUUACACUUAGCAUUAAUUAGUUGUUCCUUAAAUUAUUUUUCAAUACCGAUUGCUAAAUAUCUAUUAA
This 235-nucleotide long non-coding RNA is filed under the name Capsicum annuum. Its description in RNAcentral is "long non-coding RNA (CANN_LNC004477)". The record is from RNAcentral. Lineage: Eukaryota; Viridiplantae; Streptophyta; Magnoliopsida; Solanales; Solanaceae.